CUAGUUGGAACAUUUCAAAAAUUUGAAGGCCAAAAUGAACACUUGGAAAAGUUUGAAGACCAAAAUUGAAGAAGCUAGAAAUCCAGGGAUCUCAUUGAAGUUAAUUAAAAUUCUGUGAUCCAAUUACGAAAAACCAAACUUUAAUGACCCAAAUGAGAUUUUACAUAAAGUUCAAUGAUUGCUAAGGAAAUUUACCCAUUUUCCAAAUGUUAGGUGUCUGAUGCGAUAUCCAAGUUAUAAAAGCAUGUUGAAAAUGCAUUGUAAAAGUGUAAUAAUUAAUAAUUAGGGUAAGAAACAUUAGUUGAAUGUAGUCGAUAUGAUAAUAGCAGUGAAUAAUGAAUAUGAAAACAAGAAUUAUAUGCAAAAAGGAGAUAAGUAUAUCAAGAAUUGGACCAUCUGAAUAUAUGUAAUACUAACUUUUAAUACGUAUUACAUACGUUUUUAUGACAUAUUGCGAAAGAACAACAAUAGUGUACCAAAAAAAAAAAAGAAAAACCAACAAUCCCAUAGCAAGAAUAGCAAAAGUUUUUCAAGAAUUGGACCACCUAAUAGAUGCACAAUUAAGAACUUGGGCCAUAGCAGAAAUUACACUGAAGUCAUAAUGCAACUUUUAAACAAGCAAUGUUAGCUCCCGUUUGGCCCCAUUAAAUUUCAUUCUAUUACAUUUCAUUUUUCUUUUUCUUAUUUUGAAUCACACAAUCUUUCAUAAAAUAAUAUUAAAUGUAAAUCAAAAUUUUUUCAUUCUUUUUCAACCAUUUAUUUUAAAAAAAUAUAUUAUUCCACUUAUUUUCAUUUCAAAAAAUGAUGGUCAGACUGGGGCUUAAGCUUUAUUGCGAAACAAAUCUCUUCGUCCUUGAUAGAUCUUAUUCAUAUCUUGCUCUAUACAUAUUGCCUAUAAUGUACUUUGAACAGCAAUAAGAGAAACAAUAAUUUAUAGCGAAAAAAUCUUUUGAAAUUAAGAAUAACGAGUCAGACUAGGUAAUAGUGGAACCCCCCUCUUGUGAGGGGCUGUAAAACUUGUUGUACUUCUUAUUUGUUGACCGCGUACGUAGCCACAUUAUUAAUUGGAUAAAACUGGACGUCCAGGGGCCUAUUUGGCGCCCCCCUAUUGGGGGGUCGUCUGACAGUGACAGGCGACCCCCCAAUAGGGGGGCGCCAAAUAGGCGCCUGGACGUCCAGCACGUCCCUUAUUAAUUUUAAGAUAGACGAAAAAAAAAAAAAAAAAAAAAAAACAUAUGAAGCAUCUUAUUACAAGUUUUGGAUAAGGAUAAUCUGAACGAGUCUCGCAAUCCAACCACGUGGAAAAUGCUCUUAGAAAAUAGUUCCUUCUUGAUAAGAAAACCAAAAAUAAUUUCUUAUGGAAAAAUAGUUUUUCUUAUCUUUUUUUUUUUUUUUUUCCUUAAUAACUUAUUCUCGCGAGUGCUCAAAUUGAAAAUUCCUUAACUCCCCACAAAUAAGAAGUUUUUAAUUAUUUCUUAAACUUAUAUGGUAAAGGAACAAAAUCUAAAAACUUUUAAAUGUCAGUCAUUAUGUGCAGUUUAAUAAAACAUGUAGAGAUUGUCAAAAUAUUUUUUAUUCAGUAUACUUAUAUUUGAUUGUUACAAAAAAAGAAGUUUGUAAAUGCAAUAAUAUUAAUCUAUGCAAAAUAAAUUACAACCAUUGUAGAUGAAUAAGAACCUAAAAAGGAUGUUUGACUUAGAGGCUGUUUGAGAGUGAUUUUGAGAAUUGAUUUUUUGAUCGAUAGAAGAAAAGUGGGGUCUAUCUGUGAGAGAAGAAGUCAAAUUAACGGCUGAAAUAGUGAAAUAACGGUCAAAAAAUAAAUUUUUUUGGUGAAAAAAUUGGACCCAAACAGCCCUUAGCUUAAAUGUUGCACAAAAAUCUAAGAUCUCACUAUCGAGAACGCUAAUGAUUAGAAUUUAAAUUAAUAAAUAACUUGGUGAAUGUUUAAUGUGGACUUUAUAAGAAUAAAUUAUAAUAUUUCCGGUGCCUACCAUGUCCUGAUUUUUUUCUGAGAUGUUAUGGUAUGAAUAUGUGAAUGUGAAUUGACCUACAUUAUGAUUAUGGUAGGGCAGUCUCAUUCCACACUUUCUACAUAUUUUUCAUGAGUUGGGGGACCCAUGCAAUAAUUCCCCAUAAAUGGAUCAUCUAGAAAGACUAGACAUGUCACGUUUACCUUAUGCCAAGGCUAUAUAAAUUUCCGUGGAGUAAUCAUACAACCCUGGUCUAUUCUAUAAAGUUAAUUAUUUGUUAAUUAAAUAUAGAAAACGUUUAGUCCCUGUUUUGCCUCAAUUUUUAAGAUUUUUUUUUCUAAACCCAUUUUAAACCACACAUUUAAUUAAAAUCCACAACUUUUAUUAAAUUUUCAACCAUACAUUUUUAUCAGUUUUUAUCAAAAUAUAACAAAAACAAAUUCAUUUUUAGUCAAGUCAAACAGGGACUAAGUGCCAUAAAUACUUGGGAUAAUAUAAGUUGGGUGCUUACGUAGAGAAGGACAAUGUGACACAACUAUAAUUUAUCAAGAAUUAAAACGAGUUGACAACUAAUGAAUAAGGUGAUACCCUAUAUGUUAAGGUUAUGGUGUCGUCCAUUCCUCAAUUGAUGUGAGCAAUUUGUUCUAUUCGGGGGAUGGUAUUUCUUAGUAUUGCCACAAGUGAACUUAGAAUAUACUGGACCCGAGCACUUGUUAGAGUUUAAUUCUGUAACAUGAUCUUACAAAUCACCCUAUGGUUUGCCUAAAUACUAUGACACGAUAAUAGACGCUAUUCAUAAGCUAGGAGGUACUUUCAUGUACUAAUGAGAGAGAUCAAUUACCCAUGGUCAAAUACAUCAAUAUGCAAUGGAAUAGACAUUUAUUCGUGUAGGAAAUCGGAAAAGUAUGACCUUAAAUAUUUUAGUCGAUAGCGAUAAAACCCAACCUUAGUAGUGACGCUAAAUCCGACAUCUAUGAUUGGAUCAUCAUAGAAGCCAUUAAAGAAAAUGGACUUAAGUGAAUGAACUAAUUAGAAGGGAAAAAACUGCUAAUACUUAAUUAUUGAAAUCUUGGAUGAUGUAAAAGGUAAGCUCGGAAGGUCAGAAAAUGUAAUUACUUUAUAAUUCUAGGGUCCAAUGUCGUACCUUUAGAUUAAUGAAUGAUUGUUGAUAAAAUAAUUAGACAGGAAAAUCGAGAUUUGGAUAAGUCUAAUUAUUGGAUCUUGAAUUAUACAUGCCAUAUUAUAUCUUUUUGGUAGAUCCUAGUAAAUCGAUACUCGUCACAAAAUAGAUCUAAUUUUUUUUUAGGAACAAGUGAUCGACACGUAUAAUAUAUUAUCAUUAAUUAAUGAUGGAAUGUCUCACACCGGAUUCAAUAAUGAACAUGCAUUAAGACACUGUUAGAAUCAAUAUUUGUGUCUAUUUAAUAAGUAGAUUUUGUUCGAUGAAUUUUCGUAAGCGUACAGGGUCGAUGAUAAGUAAUAGUUUUGAGUGAACUUAUCUUUCUCACAAGGAAUAGGCUUUGACUUGAAUUUUAUCAAUUCAUGAUCAAAUACAGAGAUAGCAAACACAACUGAUGAGUUGAAUGUUUUUAUUAACUACUGAUGAGUUGAGUGUUUAAUUGUAGAGCUCAUUCUACUUAAUUCAACAGUCUCCUUUCAGUAAAAUUAAAUUUAAACUAACAAUUUAUAAAACUAUAAAAUUAACCAUAACUACGCAAAAAAAAAAAAAAUAUAUUUUACUUACCUUUAAAUUGAAGAAUUUAAACUUACUAGUUGGAAGCACUUAUUUUCUAAAAACGUAAGUGAACUUUCCUAUCAUUUUUUUUCUUCCUUUCUCUUUCUCUCUCGCUCUCUCUCUUUUUCUUUCUUCUUUCUCCUUUCUUUUCCCUCCUAGUUCUUGGCUAUGUGUGUUUCGUGUGUUGUGUGUGUAACUAUAAAUGGAUUUGCUUUGGACAUAGGCGUAUUG
This 3936-nucleotide long non-coding RNA is filed under the name Olea europaea subsp. europaea. The record is from RNAcentral. Lineage: Eukaryota; Viridiplantae; Streptophyta; Magnoliopsida; Lamiales; Oleaceae.